Long non-coding RNA from Salvia miltiorrhiza (redroot sage), 246 nucleotides. RefSeq lists it as uncharacterized. The transcript has 3 exons. Lineage: Eukaryota; Viridiplantae; Streptophyta; Magnoliopsida; Lamiales; Lamiaceae. The record is from RefSeq and is a predicted model, not a curated record.
GACGAUCAAAGCAAUCAAUACUGGUUGGUUACAUCCUACACUCAACCAAGAUGAGUUGGAAGCUGAAGUGACCAUCGACACUGUCCCAAAUGUAAAGAAGCAGCAUCAAGUGAAUGUUGCCAUAUCCAACUCAUUUGGGUUUGGAGGCCAUAAUUCAGUUGUUGUCUUGGCACCCUUCAGCCUUUGAGAAGUUUCACUCGAAAUCUAGUCCCACUAUAGUGUUGGACUGAUGUUAAAACAUUUCCA